This 245-nucleotide long non-coding RNA is filed under the name Physcomitrium patens. RNAcentral's name for it is "long non-coding RNA (PPAT_LNC002923)". Lineage: Eukaryota; Viridiplantae; Streptophyta; Bryopsida; Funariales; Funariaceae. The record is from RNAcentral.
UGAAGGUGACGCUUCCAAAUCAAAAGCAGUAAGUAAACGAGUUUGUUUGUAGUAAUGGUUGAAGUCAUAACUUGAGUAUUUAGAUGAAUUUUUGGCUCAAACUUUGAGAGAGUGUAAAGUUUUGUGUUCAAAAGCUAAAUAUACAAAUUUCGUGGCAUUUGAGCUUAUAUUUUGUGAGAUAUGAAGAAAAUUGUACGCAGGUAUAUAAAGAUAAGGGUUUGAAGCGGGUGUUAGGGAUUUCAAGA